AGAGUUUGAUCAUGGCUCAGAUUGAACGCUGGCGGAAUGCUUUACACAUGCAAGUCGAGCGGCAGCGCGGGGCGACCUGGCGGCGAGCGGCGAACGGGUGAGUAACAUAUCGGAACGUAUCCAUAAGUGGGGGACAACCUAGCGAAAGUUAGGCUAAUACCGCAUACGCUCGAGAGAGGAAAGUGGGGGAUCGCAAGACCUCACGCUUUAGGAGCGGCCGAUAUCAGAUUAGCUAGAUGGUGAGGUAAAGGCUUACCAUGGCGACGAUCUGUAGCUGGUCUGAGAGGAUGAUCAGCCACACUGGGACUGAGACACGGCCCAGACUCCUACGGGAGGCAGCAGUGGGGAAUUUUGGACAAUGGGGGCAACCCUGAUCCAGCCAUUCCGCGUGAGUGAAGAAGGCCUUCGGGUUGUAAAGCUCUUUUGUUCGGGACGAAACGGUUUCACCUAAUACGUGAGACUACUGACGGUACCGAAGAAUAG
This 483-nucleotide ribosomal RNA is filed under the name uncultured Sterolibacterium sp. RNAcentral's name for it is "bacterial SSU rRNA". It matches the Rfam family "Bacterial small subunit ribosomal RNA", at positions 8 to 488 of the family's 1533-position model. The record is from RNAcentral. Lineage: Bacteria; Pseudomonadati; Pseudomonadota; Betaproteobacteria; Nitrosomonadales; Sterolibacteriaceae.